GCCGGGCGCGGUGGCGCGUGUCUGUAGUCCCAGCUAUUCGGGAGGCUGAGGCUGGAGGAUCUCUUGAGUCCAGGAGUUGUGGGCUGUAGUGUGCCAUGCCGAUUGGGUGUCUGCACUAAGUUAGGCAUCAAUAUGGUGACCUCCCGGGAGCAGGGGACCACCAGGUUGCUUAAGGAGGGGUGAACCGGCCCAGGCUGGAAACGGAGCAGGUCAAAACUCCCAUGCUGAUCAGUAGUGGGAUUUCGCCUGUGAAUAGCCACUGCACUCCAGCCUUGGCAACAUAGCGAGACCCUGUCUCU
This 299-nucleotide signal recognition particle RNA is filed under the name Aotus nancymaae (Ma's night monkey). RNAcentral's name for it is "Metazoan signal recognition particle RNA (ENSANAG00000007544.1)". It matches the Rfam family "Metazoan signal recognition particle RNA". From Rfam's summary of the family: The signal recognition particle (SRP) is a universally conserved ribonucleoprotein. It is involved in the co-translational targeting of proteins to membranes. The record is from RNAcentral. Lineage: Eukaryota; Metazoa; Chordata; Mammalia; Primates; Aotidae.